GAAUCACCAGGUAGUUGAAUAAAUCUCAUAGGAGUUUGCAAGAAGAAGUUAUUCCACUUUCAAAUCAGGUGAUUGCAGUUUCCCAGUUUGGGAAUAGCACAGCUUCUUCGUCGUUCCAAUCAAACCAGGAUGAAUCACUUUGUAAGAAGCUUGAUUUGGAUAGAUAAAGUGGUGGAGAAUCACCAGGAAGUUGAAUAAAUCUCAUAGGAGUUGGGAUGAAGAAGUUAUCCAACUUUCAAAUCAGGUGAUUCCAGUUUCCCAGUUUGGGAAUAGCACAGCUUCUUCGUCGUUCCAAUCAAACCAGGA
This is a long non-coding RNA of Brassica rapa (field mustard), 306 nucleotides long. RefSeq lists it as uncharacterized. The record is from RefSeq and is a predicted model, not a curated record. Lineage: Eukaryota; Viridiplantae; Streptophyta; Magnoliopsida; Brassicales; Brassicaceae.